UGAAGGGUCAUAGCUCAGUGGUGGAGCAACUGCUUUGCAUGCAGGAGGUCCAUGGUCCAAUCCCCAUCAUUUUCAG
Molecule: non-coding RNA, 76 nt
Organism: Podarcis lilfordi (Lilford's wall lizard)
Lineage: Eukaryota; Metazoa; Chordata; Lepidosauria; Squamata; Lacertidae
Source: the annotation of a GenBank genome assembly